AAAUGAAUUGACGGGGGCCCGCACAAGCAGCGGAGCGUGUGGUUUAAUUCGAUGCAACGCGAAGAACCUUACCAGGGUUUGACAUGCUUAAAGUAGAAACUCGAAAGAGGGACGACCUGUAUCCAGUCAGGAAUUUGCACAGGUGCUGCAUGGCUGUCGUCAGCUCGUGCCGUGAGGUGUUAGGUUAAGUCCUGCAACGAGCGCAACCCUCGUCGCUAGUUACUUUUCUCUAGCGAUACUGCCCGUAUAACGUGGAGGAAGGUGGGGAUGACGUCAAGUCAGCACGGCCCUUACAUCCUGGGCUGCACACACGCUACAAUGGGUGAUACAACAGGUUGCAAUAGAGCGAUCUGGAGCCAAUCCCUAAAAUCAUCCUCAGUACGGAUUGCAGGCUGCAACUGCCUGCAUGAAGUUGGAGUUGCUAGUAAACGCAGGUCAGCACACUGCGUUGAAUACGUUCUCGGGCCUUGUACACACCGCCCGU
This 484-nucleotide ribosomal RNA is filed under the name uncultured bacterium. RNAcentral's name for it is "bacterial SSU rRNA". It matches the Rfam family "Bacterial small subunit ribosomal RNA", at positions 903 to 1397 of the family's 1533-position model. The record is from RNAcentral.